RNAcentral lists this ribosomal RNA (259 nucleotides) under Dermacentor variabilis (American dog tick). RNAcentral describes it as "partial small subunit ribosomal RNA". The record is from RNAcentral. Lineage: Eukaryota; Metazoa; Arthropoda; Arachnida; Ixodida; Ixodidae.
AUUAUGGCGGUAUCUUAAGCUUUUCAGAGGAAUUUGCUCUAUAAUGGAUAAAACACCUAAAUCUUACUUUAAUUAGUAAAUUCAAUUUGUAUACCACUAUUAAAAUAAUAACACACAAUUAUUAUUGAAAUAUAAUUUAUGUAAUAAAUUAAGUCAAGGUGCAGUAAAAAUUAAAGAAUGAAGUGAAUUACAUUUCUUUUUAGAAAAAAAAAAAUGAAAUAAAUAAUUUAGGAUUUGAAAGUAAAAUUAAAAUAGUAUG